CCUUCUAAAGCAGCGCAAGUCGGC
Molecule: small RNA, 24 nt
Filed under: Arabidopsis thaliana (thale cress)
Lineage: Eukaryota; Viridiplantae; Streptophyta; Magnoliopsida; Brassicales; Brassicaceae
Source: RNAcentral